UUUCACGAUGAGUCAUAUCAUGAAACAAAGUCACCCUUGAUCUCUGAUACGUGGCACCGACCUUCUUCUUCACCUCAUAACAAGAAGGUACUCUUUGGUGUGGUGGACAUUGUUUACUCCAUAUCAUCUGGCGACAAUUCCACUUGAUCCUGACCAAGAAAGCCAUCCAUGAAGGUAAACACCGAGGGCUGGGUUGUACUAUCAACCAGCACGUCAUUGUGAAGUACCGGGAAUUUCAUAUUUCGAACUAGCUCUAUUCACGUCUCAGUAGUCCACACACAUU
RNAcentral lists this long non-coding RNA (283 nucleotides) under Lathyrus oleraceus (garden pea). Its description in RNAcentral is "Pisum sativum (pea) long non-coding RNA (PSAT_LNC016172)". Lineage: Eukaryota; Viridiplantae; Streptophyta; Magnoliopsida; Fabales; Fabaceae. The record is from RNAcentral.